AUAUCAUUAAGCGGUGGAAAAGAAACUAACAAGGAUUCCCCUAGUAACGGCGAGCGAACCGGGAAGAGCCCAACUUGAAAAUCUCCCUUUGGAGAAUUGUAGUCUAGAGAAGUACCCUCUGCAGCCGAGGUUGCCCAAGUUCCCUGGAAAGGGGCGUCAGAGAGGGUGAGAACCCCGUAGGCGACCUUUGAGCUGCUCCACGAGGUGCUUUCGCAGAGUCGGGUUGCUUGGGAAUGCAGCCCAAAUUGGGUGGUAAAUCCCAUCUAAGGCUAAAUAUUGGCGAGAGACCGAUAGCGCACAAGUA
RNAcentral lists this ribosomal RNA (304 nucleotides) under uncultured Dictyochloris. Its description in RNAcentral is "partial large subunit ribosomal RNA". It matches the Rfam family "Eukaryotic large subunit ribosomal RNA", at positions 40 to 350 of the family's 3401-position model. Lineage: Eukaryota; Viridiplantae; Chlorophyta; Chlorophyceae. The record is from RNAcentral.